This 480-nucleotide ribosomal RNA is filed under the name uncultured organism. RNAcentral describes it as "partial 16S ribosomal RNA". It matches the Rfam family "Bacterial small subunit ribosomal RNA", at positions 329 to 800 of the family's 1533-position model. The record is from RNAcentral.
ACGUACACUCCUGCGGGAGGCAGCAGUAGGGAAUCUUCGGCAAUGGGGGCAACCCUGACCGAGCAACGCCGCGUGAGUGAAGAAGGUUUUCGGAUCGUAAAGCUCUGUUGUAAGUCAAGAACGAGUGUGAGAGUGGAAAGUUCACACUGUGACGGUAGCUUACCAGAAAGGGACGGCUAACUACGUGCCAGCAGCCGCGGUAAUACGUAGGUCCCGAGCGUUGUCCGGAUUUAUUGGGCGUAAAGCGAGCGCAGGCGGUUUGAUAAGUCUGAAGUUAAAGGCUGUGGCUCAACCAUAGUUCGCUUUGGAAACUGUCAAACUUGAGUGCAGAAGGGGAGAGUGGAAUUCCAUGUGUAGCGGUGAAAUGCGUAGAUAUAUGGAGGAACACCGGUGGCGAAAGCGGCUCUCUGGUCUGUAACUGACGCUGAGGCUCGAAAGCGUGGGGAGCGAACAGGAUUAGAAACCCGUGUAGUCCCAUGA